This 231-nucleotide ribosomal RNA is filed under the name uncultured bacterium. RNAcentral's name for it is "partial 16S ribosomal RNA". It matches the Rfam family "Bacterial small subunit ribosomal RNA", at positions 99 to 334 of the family's 1533-position model. The record is from RNAcentral.
CGGACGGGUGAGUAAUGUCUGGGAAACUGCCCGAUGGAGGGGGAUAACUACUGGAAACGGUAGCUAAUACCGCAUAACGUCGCAAGACCAAAGAGGGGGACCUUAGGGCCUCUUGCCAUCGGAUGUGCCCAGAUGGGAUUAGCUAGUAGGUGGGGUAACGGCUCACCUAGGCGACGAUCCUAGCUGGUCUGAGAGGAUGACCAGCCACACUGGAACUGAGACACGGUCCAG